UAGAACUUACCAACGACAGCGUGGAAGGGGAGAGGAACAUCAAAGUCCCAGAAAGUUCGAGUGAGGAGAGUAAAGUAGAGUUGAAGCGAAUUCGUUUACCUGCGUUCCUAAUGGCUUCCACCACAGUGUGUACAACAGGACAGACAAGAGAAGAGAACCCUUUAGCUCCAGCACAGGCCUCCGUAGUGUAAGUGAGGCACAGGAGGAACGUAUUCACCAAGACAUUCUGACAAUGGAGCAUCGGUACCAAGGACACUGGGACCCUGCAAUGAUUGGGGGGCUACUGCUAGUUCCUUUUUAGAGAGACGAAGAUGACACUAUACACGGAAAGUACUUUACAUUUUAUGUAAUUUGGUUUGUUAAGAGCUUCUGAAAUUUAGUUUCUGAAGUUUUUAUGUGUUUCUGUAGUUUUAUAAGUAUUCUAUAAAUUCAUAUGAUGAGAAAAUUUCAAUUCUUUAGAGAUUAAUUGAAAUUUUCACUUAUCUUACUUUUUUAGAUAAGCU
This is a long non-coding RNA of Pseudophryne corroboree (corroboree frog), 503 nucleotides long. RefSeq lists it as uncharacterized. The transcript is spliced from 3 exons. The record is from RefSeq and is a predicted model, not a curated record. NCBI's taxonomy places the organism in Eukaryota, Metazoa, Chordata, Amphibia, Anura, Myobatrachidae.